AUUGAGCGCUGGCGGCAGGCCUAACACAUGCAAGUCGAACGGUAGCACAGAGAGCUUGCUCUCGGGUGACGAGUGGCGGACGGGUGAGUAAUGUCUGGGAAACUGCCCGAUGGAGGGGGAUAACUACUGGAAACGGUAGCUAAUACCGCAUAACGUCGCAAGACCAAAGCGGGGGACCUUCGGGCCUCACACCAUCGGAUGUGCCCAGAUGGGAUUAGCUAGUAGGUGGGGUAAUGGCUCACCUAGGCGACGAUCCCUAGCUGGUCUGAGAGGAUGACCAGCCACACUGGAACUGAGACACGGUCCAGACUCCUACGGGAGGCAGCAGUGGGGAAUAUUGCACAAUGGGCGCAAGCCUGAUGCAGCCAUGCCGCGUGUAUGAAGAAGGCCUUCGGGUUGUAAAGUACUUUCAGCGGGGAGGAAGGCGGUGAAGUUAAUAACUUCACCGAUUGACGUUACCCGCAGAAGAAGCACCGGCUAACUCCGUGCCAGCAGCCGCCGUAA
This 504-nucleotide ribosomal RNA is filed under the name uncultured bacterium. Its description in RNAcentral is "partial 16S ribosomal RNA". It matches the Rfam family "Bacterial small subunit ribosomal RNA", at positions 30 to 523 of the family's 1533-position model. The record is from RNAcentral.